RNAcentral lists this ribosomal RNA (506 nucleotides) under uncultured bacterium. RNAcentral describes it as "partial 16S ribosomal RNA". It matches the Rfam family "Bacterial small subunit ribosomal RNA", at positions 29 to 523 of the family's 1533-position model. The record is from RNAcentral.
AGUGAACGCUGGCGGUAGGCCUAACACAUGCAAGUCGAACGGCAGCACAGGAGAGCUUGCUCUCUGGGUGGCGAGUGGCGGACGGGUGAGGAAUACAUCGGAAUCUACUCUGUCGUGGGGGAUAACGUAGGGAAACUUACGCUAAUACCGCAUACGACCUACGGAUGAAAGCAGGGGAUCUUCGGACCUUGCGCGAUUGAAUGAGCCGAUGUCGGAUUAGCUAGUUGGCGGGGUAAAGGCCCACCAAGGCGACGAUCCGUAGCUGGUCUGAGAGGAUGAUCAGCCACACUGGAACGGAGACACGGUCCAGACUCCUACGGGAGGCAGCAGUGGGGAAUAUUGGACAAUGGGCGCAAGCCUGAUCCAGCCAUACCGCGUGGGUGAAGAAGGCCUUCGGGUUGUAAAGCCCUUUUGUUGGGAAAGAAAUCCAGCUGGCUAAUACCCGGUUGGGAUGACGGUACCCAAAGAAUAAGCACCGGCUAACUUCGUGCCAGCAGCCGCGGUAA